This is a small nuclear RNA of Bos mutus (wild yak), 86 nucleotides long. Lineage: Eukaryota; Metazoa; Chordata; Mammalia; Artiodactyla; Bovidae. The record is from Ensembl.
GUGCUCACUUCAGCAGCACAAAUAUUAAAAUUGGAACAGCCCCUGUGCAAGGAUAACAGCAAAUUUGUCAAGUGUCCCAUAUUUUU